GAGACAAGUGUGCAAGAGA
RNAcentral lists this small nuclear RNA (19 nucleotides) under Arabidopsis thaliana (thale cress). RNAcentral describes it as "snRNA_08188". Lineage: Eukaryota; Viridiplantae; Streptophyta; Magnoliopsida; Brassicales; Brassicaceae. The record is from RNAcentral.